GAAGUGGAGCUCAGAAAGUGAUAGCACAGGUACUGGAACUUAACAGAAGUAUUUUAGCGGUCCUUAAUUAUCCUGUCCCAAGAUGAAUAAAAUUUACUUCAAAGACAGUUGUAGCAGGAAGAGGACUAAAUGUACCACACACAGCAG
Long non-coding RNA from Dipodomys spectabilis (banner-tailed kangaroo rat), 147 nucleotides. RefSeq lists it as uncharacterized. The record is from RefSeq and is a predicted model, not a curated record. Lineage: Eukaryota; Metazoa; Chordata; Mammalia; Rodentia; Heteromyidae. The transcript is spliced from 3 exons.